AGCGUUGUCCGGAAUCAUUGGGCGUAAAGAGCGUGUAGGCGGCCCGAUAAGUCCGCUGUGAAAGUCCAGGGCUCAACCCUGGGAUGCCGGUGGAUACUGUCGGGCUCGAGUCCGGAAGAGGAGUGUGGAAUUCCUGGUGUAGCGGUGAAAUGCGCAGAUAUCAGGAGGAACACCAAUGGCGAAGGCAGCACUCUGGGACGUGACUGACGCUGAGACGCGAAAGCGUGGGGAGCAAACAGG
Molecule: ribosomal RNA, 240 nt
Filed under: uncultured bacterium
Lineage: Bacteria
Description: partial 16S ribosomal RNA
Rfam family: Bacterial small subunit ribosomal RNA
Source: RNAcentral